Molecule: non-coding RNA, 498 nt
Organism: Fukomys damarensis (Damara mole-rat)
Lineage: Eukaryota; Metazoa; Chordata; Mammalia; Rodentia; Bathyergidae
Source: the annotation of a RefSeq genome assembly
GUUUACAAAGUAUUUGAGUGAAGUCAGGCAGUAUGACAAGCAGGCACCCACGAAGGUCUCUGAUUGGUGCAGCCCCCUGGGCCAAUGAGCUACAGGAAUCUCUACUGAGGAAGCCUUUCUGGAAAGUCAGAUUCAGCGUCUUUACUGAGGAGCCAAGAGAUGGAGACCCUCCUGCAUGUACUUGUGGGGAUGCUGGGGCUGCAGGCAGCCUGGGUCAGCAGCCAAGAACUGCAGCAGAGUCAGUCUCUGGUCACCCAAGAGGGAGAAGAUAUCACCAUAAACUGCAAUUCAUCACAGACUUUAUAUGCCUUGCACUGGUACAGACAAAAUGGUGGAGGUCCUGUCUUCUUGUUGAUGCUACAGAAAGGCAGGGAUGAGAAGAGUCACGGAAACAUCGCUGCCAAGUUGGAUGACAAAAAGCAGCAAAGUUCCCUGCAUAUCACAGCUGCCCGGCCCAGCCACUCAGGCACCUACUUCUGUGCAGGAAAUGCACAGUGA